Non-coding RNA from Musa acuminata subsp. malaccensis (wild Malaysian banana), 275 nucleotides. Lineage: Eukaryota; Viridiplantae; Streptophyta; Magnoliopsida; Zingiberales; Musaceae. The record is from RefSeq and is a predicted model, not a curated record.
GUUUGUCACUAGAGGCAGGGAUGAAUGCAUACCAGUUGAUAAAGGAACUUGAAGGAAACUCCACGGAAAAGGUAACUCGGUAUUAAGUGGAAGAAGGAACAACACAUACGAAGUUUCUCGUGCGGCUGGUUCCAUGUACAACAAGGUUCGUCAUGUUUCCAAUGAGGUUGCUGAUGGAUUGCCUCUGUGGAUGUCACUUGCCUUAUCUUCUGGGUAGGUUUUUGUUGGAGGCUCAUCAUCCCCAUCCCAAGAGCCCAACACAAUAGAGAGAGAGA